This is a non-coding RNA of Paramisgurnus dabryanus, 539 nucleotides long. Lineage: Eukaryota; Metazoa; Chordata; Actinopteri; Cypriniformes; Cobitidae. The record is from RefSeq and is a predicted model, not a curated record.
AAUUUAGUGACUGCAGUACUGGAAGAUUCCAGUAGGGGGCGUGGACAGGUGACUAGGGUCAAGCACGCGUUCCUUUAGUAUCAUAGAACAAUAGACUGAUCGAGGGAAACUCAGCGUGUUUGUUUGUCUCUAAUACCUGUUCCCUUAUUGCAGAUUUCAAAUAAGAUGAUAGACUGGGAGUGCAGGGUGUAAAAAGAUUCAUCGUUCAAGACUCCACGUCCUCAGACACCACAGACUAGAACAUAGACACUGCUCAAAAAUAAGUCCACUUCCAUCUUGAUUAUUCUGAAGUGCAUAUUGAGAGAGAGCCACUGGAGCAAUAUAUGGUUGUGCGUUACAGCUCUAAUGGCCAAAUGCAGUGAAUUUCUCUGUUGUUCUUGAGGACGAAUUGGUCACCACCCACAACCAACUUCCAGAUGCCUUUCUUGUCCUGUUUGGAUUCCUGUAUGCUUUUCACGUACAUAUUCCUAAAGGACUUGCAAAAACAUUGGUAUUUGUGCAAAAAACUUUUGCUUGGCAUGGAAGAUGGGGAAACUGUC